Heterocephalus glaber (naked mole-rat) is the source of this 175-nucleotide non-coding RNA. The record is from RefSeq and is a predicted model, not a curated record. Lineage: Eukaryota; Metazoa; Chordata; Mammalia; Rodentia; Bathyergidae.
CAGAUGAAGAAAGUUCUGGGAAGGCUGCUUUCUCUGUCUGCUGAAUCACAAAUGCCGUGGAGUUCAAGGGUCACUGUCAUCUGAUCCUGCUUCCCUGUGGUCUUGCCUCUGAAAAGGCAGGUAUGGCUGAGCUAUGAGAGUCUUGCAAUAUACCUCCAAGCAGGGUUGUAACCAG